This 472-nucleotide ribosomal RNA is filed under the name uncultured organism. Its description in RNAcentral is "partial 16S ribosomal RNA". It matches the Rfam family "Bacterial small subunit ribosomal RNA", at positions 332 to 796 of the family's 1533-position model. The record is from RNAcentral.
UACACUCCUACGGGAGGCAGCAGUGGGGAAUUUUGGACAAUGGGCGAAAGCCUGAUCCAGCAAUGCCGCGUGAGUGAAGAAGGCCUUCGGGUUGUAAAGCUCUUUUGUCAGGGAAGAAACGGUGAGAGCUAAUAUCUUUUGCUAAUGACGGUACCUGAAGAAUAAGCACCGGCUAACUACGUGCCAGCAGCCGCGGUAAUACGUAGGGUGCAAGCGUUAAUCGGAAUUACUGGGCGUAAAGCGUGCGCAGGCGGUUUUGUAAGUCUGAUGUGAAAUCCCCGGGCUCAACCUGGGAAUUGCAUUGGAGACUGCAAGGCUAGAAUCUGGCAGAGGGGGGUAGAAUUCCACGUGUAGCAGUGAAAUGCGUAGAUAUGUGGAGGAACACCGAUGGCGAAGGCAGCCCCCUGGGUGAAGAUUGACGCUCAUGCACGAAAGCGUGGGGAGCAAACAGGAUUAGAAACCCCGGUAGUCC